UAUAUAUAUAUAAAUUAUGUUAGUGUAUUCUGCAAACAAAGUGAUGUCUGCAAUUGCAAUGCUCUAAAAGAACAGAACAAUUGAGGUUGCGUAGUCAUAGAGUUGGAGUUGCGGCAUUGAAAGUAAAACAGUUAUCAUUAAUUGGCGGUAAAAAUCUAGCUGAUACAAUUAAAAAUAUUUUGUUCUUGUAAGUAAUAAGCAAAAGUUAGAAGUUUAACAUUUAUGAUUGACAGUACAGCAUUUAUGUUCUUUUUUAAAUAUGCAGAUUGCCAACAGACACGACUUUGUCAGAAUACAGUAUGAAUUGUUUAAACAAGAAAAAAAAGUUUAAAGAGUUGACAAGUCUAUGUAACGCUGUCACUGAAGCUGCUUUAAAGUCAAAUAAAAAUUUAACCAAUAUGGAUGCCAUCCAACUUAUUAGGAGAGUAAUUAGGCAUUCUUCUGACCGAAUAAAGAGAACAUCCACUAAUAUGGAUUUCCACCAAUGAUGGCUUAAUUAACUGUUGUUGUUUUUUGUUUUUUUUCCAUUUUUAAACAAUUUUCUUCUAUUUUUAAUGCACUAUCGAUUAUAUUAUACAGUACCUAUUAGUUUUUAAUUUUGAAA
This is a non-coding RNA of Hydra vulgaris (swiftwater hydra), 604 nucleotides long. NCBI's taxonomy places the organism in Eukaryota, Metazoa, Cnidaria, Hydrozoa, Anthoathecata, Hydridae. The record is from RefSeq and is a predicted model, not a curated record.